Molecule: ribosomal RNA, 303 nt
Filed under: Ehrlichia canis
Lineage: Bacteria; Pseudomonadati; Pseudomonadota; Alphaproteobacteria; Rickettsiales; Anaplasmataceae
Description: bacterial SSU rRNA
Rfam family: Bacterial small subunit ribosomal RNA
Source: RNAcentral
ACGGAAUAGCCAUUAGAAAUGGUGGGUAAUACUGUAUAAUCCCCGAGGGGGAAAGAUUUAUCGCUAUUAGAUGAGCCUACGUUAGAUUAGCUAGUUGGUGAGGUAAUGGCUUACCAAGGCUAUGAUCUAUAGCUGGUCUGAGAGGACGAUCAGCCACACUGGAACUGAGAUACGGUCCAGACUCCUACGGGAGGCAGCAGUGGGGAAUAUUGGACAAUGGGCGAAAGCCUGAUCCAGCUAUGCCGCGUGAGUGAAGAAGGCCUUCGGGUUGUAAAACUCUUUCAAUAGGGAAGAUAAUGACGG